UUUUUUUUUUUUUUUUUUGUCUUUAUGCUAUUUCUUUGGGCCGCUCCUGUGGCACAUGGAGGUUCCCAGGCUAGGGGUCGAAUCAGAGCCGUAGCCACAGCCUACGCCAGAGCCACAGCAACGCGGGAUCCGAGCCUCGUCUGGUCUGCAAACUACACCACAGCUCACGGCAACGCCGGAUCGUUAACCCACUGAGCAAGGGCAGGGACCGAACCCGCAACCUCAUGGUUCCUAGUAGGAUUCAUUAACCACUGCGCCACGACGGGAACUCUGGAUCUGCCUAUUUUUGACUGGGUUGUUUUCUUUGUUUUUUAAUACUGAGCUUCAUGAGUUGUUUGUAUAUUUUGGAGAUUAAUCCCUUGUCAGUCACUUCAUUUGCAAAGAUUUUUUCCCAUUCUGUAGGUUGUCUUUUUGUUUUGUUUAUAGUUUCCUUUUCUGUGCAGAAACUUUUUAAGUUUAAUUAUGUUCCAUUUGUUUAUUUUUGUUUUUAUUGUCAUUACUCCAGGAAGUGGAUCUAAGAAGAUGUUGCAGUGGUUUAUGUCAGAGAGUGUAUGUGAGAGAGCAAUGCCAGAUCCUUAACCUACUGAGUGAGGCCAAGGAUGGAACCUGCAUCCUCAUGGAUACUAGUUGGGUUCUUAAUCCACUGAACCACAACAGGAAGUCCUCUGCUCUGAUUUUUUUUUUCCUUCUACUAACUUUAGGUUGUUUUUCUUUCUCUAGUUGCUUUAGGUUUCUUAUUUGAGAUUUUUCUUCUUUGCUGAGGUACGCUUGUAUUGCUGUAAACUUCCCUCUUUAACUUCUAUUGCUGCAUCUCCGAGGUUUUGGAUCAUUGUGUUUUUGUUUUCAUUUGUCCCUAGAUAUUGUUUGAUUUCUACUUCGAUUUCUUCAGUAAUCCAUUGGUGUUUAGCAUCAUAUUGUUUGGUCUCCACAUGUUUGUGUUUUUUGCAGUUUUUUUUUUUUUCCUUUUAGUUAAUUUCUAGUUUUAUCACAUUGUGGUCAGAAUAGAUGCUUGAUAUGAUUUCAAUUUUCUUAAAUUUACUAAGGCUUGACUUGUGGCCCAGAAUGUGAUUUAUCUUUAAGAUUUUCCAUGUGUGCUUAAGAAGAAUGUGCAUUGCUCUGCUUUUGGAUGGAAUAAUCUGUAAAUAUCAGUUAAGUUCAUCUGGUCUAAUGUAUCAUUUAAGUCCUGUAUAUCCCUGUUGGUUUUCUGUCUGGAUGACCUGUCCACCACUAUUAUUGUGUUAUUGUCAAUAUUCCCUUUAUGGCUAUUAGCAGUUGUCUUAUAUAUUGAGGUGCUCCUAUGUUGGGUACAUAUAUAGUUGUAGUUGUUAUAUCUUCUUCUUGGGUUGAUUUUUUUCUUUUUAGGGCCGCACCUGUAGCAUAUGGAAGUUCCCAGGCUAGGGGUCAAAUCAGAGCUGUGGCUGCUGGCCUACACCACAGCCACAGCAAUGCUAUAUCUGAGCAGCAUCUGUGACCUACACCACAGCUCACAGCAAUGCUGGAUCCCCAACCCACUGAGUGAGGCCAGGGAUCAAAACUGCAUCCUCAGAGAUACUAGUUGGAUUCGUUUCUGCUGAGCCAUGACAAGAACUCCCUGAUCCCUUUGAUCAUUAUGUAAUGUCCUUCUUUGUCUCUUAUAACGGUCUUUAAAGUCUAUUUGUCUGAUGUGUGUAUUUCUACUCCAGCUUUCUUUUGAUUCCCAUUUGCAUGGAAUAUCUUUUUCCAUCCUCUCACUUUUAGUCUGUAUGUGUCUCUGUAACUGAAUGGGUCUCUUACAGGUUGCAUCUGUAUUUUUUUUUUUUUUUUUGCAUUCAUCCAGUCUAUGUCUUUUGGUUGGAACAUUUAAUCAACUUACAUUUAAGGUAAUUAUUGAUAUGUAUGUUCUUAUUGCCAUUUUGUUGUUUUAGAUUUGUUUUUGUUGAUCUUUUUUCCUCCCUCCUUUUGUUUUCUUCUCUUGUGGUUUGAUGACUAUCUUUAGUGUUGUGUUUGGAUUGCUUUUGUGUGUGUUAUCUAUUGUAGAUUUUUGGUUUGCAAUUCCAUGAAGUUUUGAUAAAGGAGACUAUACAAGAUUGCUUUAAGUUGCUGAUCUCUUAAUUUUAAAUGUAUUUCCAGUAUCCUGCAUUUGUACUCCCCUCACAAUUACUGGGUUUGAUAUCAUAUUUGUGUGUGGAUGAUUUACUACCUAGUACUACAUGUUUGCCUUUACUGGUGAGCCUUUGCAUUUGUAAUUUUCUUGUUUUUAGUUGUGGCCUUUUCUUUUCUGCCUGGAGAGAUUCCUUUAGUAUUUGUUGUAAAGCUGGUUUGGUGCUGCUAAAUUCUCUUGGUUUUUGCUUGUCUGCAAAGCUUUUGAUUUCUCAGUCAAAUCUGAAUGAGAGCCUUGCUGGGUAGAGUAUUCUUGGUUGUUUUUCCUUUUCAUCACUUUAAGUAUAUUGUGCCACUUCCUUCUGGCCUGCAGAGUUUCUGCUGAAAAACUAGCUGAUAACAUUACUAGGGUUCCCCUGUAUGCUAUUUCUUGCUUUUCCCUAGCUGCUUUCAAUAUUUUCUCUUUUCUUUAAUUUUGGUCAGUUUGAUUAAUAUUUCUCCGGGUGUUCCUCCUUGGAUUUAUUCUGUGUGCUUCCUGGACUUGAGUAAUUCCUUUCUCAUGUUAGGGAAGUUUUUGGCUAUUACCUCUUCAAAUAUUUUCCCAGACACUUUCUCUUUCUUUUCUCCUUCUGGCAUCCCUAUAAUGUGAAUAUUGGUGCAUUUAAUGUUGUCCCAGGGUUCUCUUAGAUUGUCCUCAUUUCUCUUCAUACUUUUUCUUUAUUCUGUUCCACAUCCGUGAUUUGUACCAGUCUGUCUUCCACCUUGCUUAUUCAUUCUUCUGCCUCCUGUAUUCUGCUAUUGUUUCCUUCUAGUGGAUUUUUCAUUUUGGUUAUUGUGUUUUACAUCUGUUUAUUUUUUAAACUUUUUUUUCCUUUAUUAAACAUUCUUAUAAUUUCUUGAUCUUUGCCUACAGCUUUUUUCUGAGAUCUUGGAUCAUCCUUACUAUCAUUACUCUAUAAAUUUUUUCCAUGUAGGUUGUUUAUCUCCUCUUCAUUUAGCUGUUCUUCUGGGGUUUUUGUCUUUUCCUUCAUCUGGCUCAUAUUUCUCUGCCAUUUCAUUUGUCUAGCUUUCUGUGUGGAUUCCUUUCUGCAGGCUACAGGGUUGUAGCCUCUCUUGCUUCUGGUGUUCCACCCUUGUGGGUGAAGUUGAUACUGGGGCUUGUGGCAGGCUUCCUGAUAGGAGGCACUGGUGCCUGCCCACUGGUGGUUGGAGCUGUCUUAUCCCUCUAGUGGGUGGGGCUGUGUCUCUGAGUGGGAUUAUAGACAGCUGUGUUCCUUGGAGGACUUUAGGGAGCCUGUUUGCUGAUGGGUGGGGCUGUGUUCCCACCCUCCUUGCUGUUUGGCCUGGGGCUUCUGAGUCCUCAUGCCUUCAAACAAGGGGCCAGCUUUUUGCAAAAUGGCAGUCUCCAGGGGAGCUCUGCCUCCACAGUGAGCCACAGCUGAUCCCUGCCUUCCCAGGAGAACUUCCAAGACCUGCAGGUAGGUCCGACCAGAUUCUUAUGGAGUCCCUGCUUGUCCCUGGGACCCAGUGUACGUGAAACCCUGUUGUGCCCCCCAAGAGUGGAGUCUCUUGUUUUUCCCAAUCCUGUGGAGCUCCUGCCUUUGAGCCUGCUGGCUUUCAAUGCCAAAUGCUCCAGGGGCCCCUCUUCUGAAUGCCAGACCGUGGGGGGAACCUACAUGGGGUUUGGAACUCUCACACCUGUGGGAGAGCUUCUGUCAUAUAGUUAUAUUCAGUUUAUGGGUUGUCCACACAGCAGGUAUGGGAUUGUUAUAUCGCAAAAGCACCCCUCGUACCACCUCGUUGUGGCUUCUUCUUUGUCUUUAGUUAUAGGAUAUCUUAUAGUAGCUUCCAGCCUACUGAGGAUUGUUCAGCAGUUAGUUGUAAUUUUGGUAUUUUCAUGAGAGGAGGUGAGCUCAAGUCCUACUCUACCAUCUUGUUUGGAAUUCUGGCCUAUUUGUAUGUUAUUAAUACUAGUCCUGCCCACCAUCAAAAUAUCCUGUUAUUUCUAAGGAAGUACUAUGAACUAGGUUUUAGGUGCAAUUUUUAAAAAAAUAUUAUGGCUAUAUUAAAAGCAAAGCCUAUUUAGAAAAAUGUAAAUUUUACAGAUGAAAUAAUGUGAUUUGCUUCAAAACAGUAUCAAGAAGGAGGAUGGGAGUUCCUGUCAUGGCACAACGGAAACAAAUUUGACUAGUAUCCAUGAAGACACAGUUGCCCUGGCCUUGCUCAGUGGGUUAUGGAUCCGGUGUUGCUGUGACCUGUGGUAUAGGUUGCAGAUGCGGCUCAGAUCCCCCGUUUUGCUAUGGCUGUGAUGUAAGCUGGCAGCUACAGCUCUGAUUCAACCCCUAGUCUGGGAACUUCCAUAUGCUGUGGGUGCACC
Molecule: long non-coding RNA, 4456 nt
Filed under: Sus scrofa (pig)
Lineage: Eukaryota; Metazoa; Chordata; Mammalia; Artiodactyla; Suidae
Description: lncRNA (ENSSSCG00000058156.1)
Source: RNAcentral